RNAcentral lists this ribosomal RNA (467 nucleotides) under uncultured bacterium. RNAcentral's name for it is "bacterial SSU rRNA". It matches the Rfam family "Bacterial small subunit ribosomal RNA", at positions 330 to 794 of the family's 1533-position model. The record is from RNAcentral.
UCCAGACUCCUACGGGAGGCAGCAGUGAGGAAUAUUGGUCAAUGGGCUUACGCCUGAACCAGCCAAGUCGCGUGAGGGAAGACUGCCCUAUGGGUUGUAAACCUCUUUUGUCAGGGAGCAAUUGGCGCUACGUGUAGCGUUAUCGAGAGUACCUGAAGAAAAAGCAUCGGCUAACUCCGUGCCAGCAGCCGCGGUAAUACGGAGGAUGCGAGCGUUAUCCGGAUUUAUUGGGUUUAAAGGGUGCGUAGGCGGAAUGCCAAGUCAGCGGUAAAAUCGCGGGGCUCAACCCCAUCCAGCCGUUGAAACUGGGGAUCUAGAGUGUGCGAGAGGUAUGCGGAAUGCGUGGUGUAGCGGUGAAAUGCAUAGAUAUCACGCAGAACCCCGAUUGCGAAGGCAGCAUACCGGUGCACAACUGACGCUCAGGCACGAAAGCGUGGGUAUCGAACAGGAUUAGAUACCCGUGUAGG